CAGAGGUGUGAACUGCCAGGUUACUACCCUGCUCCAGACUCAAGUAUUCUAAUAAAACACAAAGGUUCCACUUUCUCAUUUGUGCAAUGGAAAAAUUUCUGCCUCUCUUUUUUACUGUAUCCAUUACCUGGUUCCCAAGGCUUCACAGUUUGUGAAAUUAAUAGUAAUCAGUUAACUAAACAACACAUCGCUAAACUCAUAACAAAAUUAAAAAGCAAGCUUAUUUGGGUAAAACCUGGUAAGAAUCAAUGACCUUGUUUCUUUGCAUCAAAGGAAAUUUUCACCUCACUUAAAAUGCUUCUAUUGUGUGUGUGCGUGUAUGUGAAUUAAAUUUUUUAAAUUAAUAUUUGGAACAAGUACACUUUUUAAACUUUUGGAUUAAUAUUUUCUUAUUUCUCCACCCUAAAAAUACUAUCUAGAGUUUUUCUGUUGAUUAGCAAACAUUUCACACUUUAGAGAACACAAAUUUCACUUUCAAUCCUAAGAUUCUGGAGAAAAAGUAUUUUCACUAACACACACACACACUUCAAGAUAUUAUCUGGAAAUCAAAUCUCCACACAUUAUACUUUCUCUUGAAAGCCAUUCUAGAGUAACCAAGGCAACAGAAUACAGACAUCUUCUGUUCUACCUUGUCCUUUACUGGACUGCUCACAACUCUCCAAGAGUCCCUGUCACCAUUACUGGACUUGAGAUUCUAUACUAAUUGAUUCUCUCCUACUUAACAUUGAUUUAACCCUCCCAAACUGACAGGCUUUACAAUUAGUCAAAAUGAAGAUUUAGGGGACAGUAUCAUUGACAACCACCAUUUGUACUCGUAAAAACUGACAGUAUCUAACAGUUGGGAAGGGAAAAGAGUGUGGGUCAGCGUGUGACCAGCACCCAAGAGCGAGCCACGGUAACUUGAACGAAGGCUUUUAGGUGGCAGAGGACCUGAAAAUUAACAUCUGCUUUGCAUUACACACACACACACACACACACACACGCACACCACCCCCCCAAAAAUAUUCAGCUUUGAUAGCUCACGGUCUGAUUCUGAGUGAAACUGCAAACUCCAGUAGACAGCAUAUGGAAAACAUUUUCUCAGCAAAGAAAAUUCCGUCCACUAAUUUGAAUUAUUCUGCAAAUUAGGACAAGAUCCUCAUUAAGCAGCCAGUUGGGCAGUCCAGUUGAGGGUGAGAAGGAAGAGGCAGGGGAUUCCUUGAGAGCCUAGCAGAGAAGGAGGCCACAUGCCAUCACGGAAGCAGGCAAAAAUAAGCAGAUGGCACAGGCUCCUAAUCACCCCUGCCCCAUUCCAAGGCUCUGGCUGAACGCUGUCCAACAGAAAUAUAAUGCCAGUCACAUAUCUAAUUUUAAAUUUUCAAGUAGCCAUGUUAAAAGGAGAAGAGAGAGCAAAAUGAAACCAGUGACAUUAAGAAUGUAUUUAAGCUAACCCAAUAUGUUCGAAACAUUAACAUCUCAACCUGUAUAAUUUAAGCAGGGAAAAAAUGACGAAUGGGGGUGUUUUACUGUUUUCUCCUAAGUGAUUUAAAAUCAGGUGUGUUUCUUUCACCGAAGAGGGCAUCUCUAGUAGGUCAAGCCACAUUGCAAGCGCUCCGGCACUCAGCGGCCACCUUCCGGGGCCAGCUCACACGAACUUCAGGCUGACGGUUGGUCUUUAAAAUACCUAACUACGUGUCGGAGGACGGGGGAGAAAGACCCAAGUCCAGAAAAUUUCACCCAAUCAGGGUGCAGGCGCGACCUCUCGGGACCAGCCAGAGCUUUCCAGCUGGACCACACCCCUGCAGUGACCGUCGCCGACAGGAAAUUCACGCUAAUGGGAACUGACAGGUCUUCAUUCUUUAAGGGUGGGGACAAGAAACCUCCAGUCCGGGCCGUCUCGGUGUCCACAAUAAAGACAGGAAACCAUUCGUGAGCGUCCUAGACGUGAGCCCCGCGCCAAAAAAUAAUAAUAAUAACGGGGUGGGGAGGGAAAGUGACCUGAAAUUAAUGAGCCAAGGGCCCCGCGAGCAUCCUUCCCGCUCCCAAACCCAAGCCUCUGGAACUCAAACCACCUGGAAAUGGUCCUUCUGGAAUAGUGGAUGGGAUCCAGGGAGCUCCAUUCAUCUGUUCAACAAAUGAGACAGGAUCCUGAUUGGAUAACUGCAAUAACAUGGAUUCCAUGGAAAGCCUUUUUCAUGCAUCAGCUUAGCUUUCUCCCAGUUGAGCCAAUGAUAUAAGAUGCUGGGGUCUGAGAAACCGUCUUAAAGGAGAGACUGGUGACAAACACUUGCUGUAUGGUUUGUUAUUGUUGUUUAGUCGCUAAGUCGUAUCUGACUCUUCGAAACCCCAUGGACUGUAGCCCACCCAGCUCCUCUGUCUGUGGGGUUUCCCAAGCAAGAAUACUGGAGUGGGUUGCCAUGCCCUCCUCCAGGGAAUCUUCCCGACCCAGGGAUCAAACCCACGUCUUCUGCAUUGGCAGGCAGAUUCUUUACCACUGAGCCAGCAGAGAAGCCCUUGCUAUGUGGUAGUUAAGAAUAAUGUGUCUUGGGAAAAACCUAGGAAAUGAUCAUUUAUUUUCCCCCUGGCUAUUAAUGGUGGUUGUUUCAUUUGGCUUCACCUGAUGAUGGUUUGGACUUCCUUCCCAGGUGGCACUAGUGGUAAAGAACCCACGUGACAAUGCAAGAGCUGCGGGUUCAGUCUCUGGGUCAGGAAGACCCCCUGGAGGAGGGCAUGGAAACCCACUGCAGUAUUCUUGCCCAGAGAAUCCCACAGACUGAGGAGCCUGGUGGGCUGCAGUCCAUAGGGUUGUACAGGCUCAGACAUGACUGAAGCGAUUUAGCGCACAUGCACCCUGAUGAUGGUUUGGUCAAGUUGAGGAAAGUUUCCUUGUCAGCUGCAACCCACCUUAUACCAGAUCUGUUGCUCUGCAGGACAGACUCAAGAAUUCCUUAGGGCUUUCUUGGUGGUCCAGUGGUUAAUAACCUGCCCAGCAAUGCAGGGUUCGAUCCCUGAUCUGGGAAGAUCUCACAUGCCACGGGGCAACUAAUCCCGUGCAUCACACCUGCUGGGCCCGAGCACGCUAGAGCCCAUGCUCUGCAAGAAGAGAAGCCCUCAUGCCACAAGGAAGAGUGGCCCCCGAUCACCACCGCAACUAGAGAAAGCCCUCACACUGCAACAGAGUUCCCACGCAGCCCAAAAUAAUUAUUUUUUAAAAAGCACCCUGUUUCUUGCAGCACUAUGCACGAUAGCCAAGACAUAGAAACAACCUAAGUGGACAUCGACAGAUGAAUAGAUAAAGAAGAUGUGGUGUACACACAAUGGAAUAUGACUCAGCCAUUAAAAAAGAAUGAAAUCAUGCCAUUUGCAGCAACAUGGGUAGAUCUAAAGAUUGUCAUACUAAGUGAAGUAAGUCACAAAAAGAAAGACAAAUAUCAUAUGAUUUCACUUAAAGGUGGAAUCUGAAAUAUGACACAGGUGUUCAUACUUAAAUAUGACCCUGGUGGUCCAGCGGUUAAGACUCCAUGCUCUCAAUGCAGGAGCACUGGUUGGAUCCCUGGUUGAGGAAGAUUCCACAUGCCAUGUGCUGUGGCCAAUAAAAAUUUUACAUUAAGAAUUUUUUAAAUAAAUAAAAAACAAAAUGUGACACAAAUGAAUUUUUCAAUGAAACAGAAACAGAUUCAUAGACAUAGAAUAGACUUGUGGUUGCCACUGGGGAUGGGGCUGGAGGUGGGAUGGAUUGAGAGUUUGGGAUUAGCAGAUGCAAACUAUUAUACAUAGAAUGGGUAAACAACAGGGUCCUACUGCAUAGCACAGGGAAAUACAUUCAAUAUUCUGUGACAAUCCAUAAUGGAAAAUAAUAUGAA
Molecule: long non-coding RNA, 3842 nt
Organism: Dama dama (fallow deer)
Lineage: Eukaryota; Metazoa; Chordata; Mammalia; Artiodactyla; Cervidae
Exons: 3
Source: RefSeq, a predicted model, not a curated record